UAAAUUGCACCAACCUGCUAAGAUGCGCUUUGUCAGCAAAAGCAUAUUCUUUGGCAGCUCCAUUGGUCUAGAUUCAUCCCAUAUUGUUGUACGAAUGUCAUCAAGUUCUUUUGCGAGGGCAUCCACAUAUGGCAUACUGGGAAACUGGUCAAGGUAGGGAAUCUCUCUUGAAUAAAAAGGCAUAUGAGACUCGUAAACUAUGGGUCUAAUGGUAGGUGGAGUCUGCAUAUAUGGAGCAUGCUCAUUUGUAGCAUCAUGCUCCCUCAUCAAAUGAGAUUGUUUAUUCUCAUUCUCUUCAGUAAAAUGUGUUUCCUCACCAUCGCGCCCUCAUUAAGGAAGGGUGUAUCAUAUCCAAACUCAUCAGUAUUAUUUUUAUAAUUACUAUUAUCUUCAUGCCUGCAUGUAUCUGCCAAAUCCUGAUUAAAUAUAUUGUCUUUAGGCAAUUGAGUAAAGGCAUGACCAUCAUGUUGCUCGUUUUCACUGCACGACCAAUAAAAUAAUGAGUGUCUCAAAGUCAUCUCAACAUUAUAUAUUAACUUUAUAUCUUAAGUUACAAUUCAUAAUAUGUUGAUAGCUAAUGAUACACAUUAUUGAUGACUCGCAGAUGGACCGGCAUGAUCCAAACUACCAAAAUUGGGAAUAUUUCAAUUGUUGGUUGGUUCAUCACUUAUAAAAUUAAUGUCUGGAUGGUAUUCCCUUUGGAUCAUAUAAGUGUUAGUAUGAAUAUGAUACAAAAUUAUAUUACAAUAAGGAAAAUUGACAUUCACCAUUAAGCGCGUGAAUUACGUAAACUUGGGUCAGAAAUUGUCUCCUCGCUCCUCAUUCUCUCGUGGAGAUAAACUUAUAUCUUGCCACACUCUUUCAAAUGGAACCUGUUUGAAUUAAACUGCUCCAAAAAUACCACAGAUGAGUGAGAGUUAUCCCUAUUUUGUAGAAUCUAAAUAUUGUGGAUGUAUUUAGACUUGAC
RNAcentral lists this long non-coding RNA (967 nucleotides) under Nicotiana benthamiana. RNAcentral's name for it is "long non-coding RNA (NBEN_LNC005592)". Lineage: Eukaryota; Viridiplantae; Streptophyta; Magnoliopsida; Solanales; Solanaceae. The record is from RNAcentral.